GACGAACGCUGGCGGCGUGCUUAACACAUGCAAGUCGAACGGAAAGACCCGGCUUUUGUUUGGUUCUCGUUUGGCAAACAGGUGAGUAACACAUGAGUAACCUGCCCUUAACUGUGUGAUAACUUCAGGAAACUGGGUCUCUUACCGGAGAUGAUCUCCUGCUGCAUGGUGUUGGUUAGAAAGUGUCGGCGGUUGGGGAUGUACUCGCGGCUUAUCAGCUGCUUGGUGGGGUAGUUGUGUACCAAGGCUUUGACGGGUAGCCCGCCUGAGAGGGUUACCGGCGACCAUGGGACUGAGAGACGGAGCAGAAGGCUACGGGAGGCAGCAGGGGGGAAUAUUGCACAACGGGGGGACGCCUGAUGCAGAAACGCCGCGUGCGGAAUGCCGGCCUACGGGUUGUAAACAGAUUUCGAAUGUGCCGAAGAGUGCGUGACGGUAAUGGGUAAAGAAGCAACGGCUAACUACGUG
RNAcentral lists this ribosomal RNA (468 nucleotides) under uncultured bacterium. RNAcentral describes it as "partial 16S ribosomal RNA". It matches the Rfam family "Bacterial small subunit ribosomal RNA", at positions 28 to 507 of the family's 1533-position model. The record is from RNAcentral.